Molecule: long non-coding RNA, 2117 nt
Organism: Misgurnus anguillicaudatus (oriental weatherfish)
Lineage: Eukaryota; Metazoa; Chordata; Actinopteri; Cypriniformes; Cobitidae
Source: RefSeq, a predicted model, not a curated record
UUUCAUCAUAAUAUUUCACUAACACACUUAAGGACACUUUUUAAAAAUGCACUUUUUAAUAAUAUCUAAUUAAUUUGAACUUAUAGUAAGUAAACUUUCAUUAUAAUAUUUAUAAACACAAUUAAGUGCACUUUUAAAAUGCACUUUGUAAUAAUAUCUAAUUAAUUUGAACUUACAGUAAGUACACUUUCAUCAUAAUAUUUCACUAACACACUUAAGGACACUUUUUAAAAAUGCACUUUGUAAUAAUAUCUAAUUAAUUUGAACUUAUAGUAAGUACACUUUCAUCACAAUAUUUCACUAACACACUUAAGGACACUUUUUAAAAAUGCACUUUGUAAUAAUAUCUAAAUAAUUUUAACUUAUAGUAAGUACACUUUCAUCAUAAUAUUUCACUAACACACUUAAGGACACUUUUUAAAAAUGCACUUUGUAAUAAUAUCUAAUUAAUUUGAACUUAUAGUAAGUACACUUUCAUCACAAUAUUUCACUAACACACUUAAGGACACUUUUUAAAAAUGCACUUUGUAAUAAUAUCUAAAUAAUUUUAAAUUAUAGUAAGUACACUUUCAUCAUAAUAUUUAUAAACACACUUAAGUGCACUUUUAAAAAUGCACUUUGUAUUAAUGUCUAAUUAAGCUUAACUUAAAGAAAGUACACUUUCAACAUAAUAUUUAUAAACACACUUAAGUGCACUUUUAAAAAUGCACUUUUUAAUACUGUCUAAUUAAGCUUAACUUAUAGUAAGUACACUUUCAUCACAAUAUUUCUUAACAUACUUAAGUACACUUUUUAAAAAUGCACUUUGUCUAAUUUAGUUUUACUUAAAUGUAACCCUGGUUAAAUAAUUAAAUAUUAUUAUUUUAAAAGUGUGCUUAAAAAUAAUAGAGACUAUUCAUACAUCUACAUUUAUUUUAUAAAUGAGGAAAUACAUGUGAAUAAUUCAAUCUGAAUUAUAAAUCUGAAAUGAGUAAACCAAUCGGAGUGUUUAAUUGUAAGCUCCGCCCCUUUUUUGCUUUCGGAUCGCGUCUCAGUUCAGAGGAGAGAUGCAGAGCGACAGAGACACUCGAUCUAACGCGAGAGUGUUUAAUUUGAUUAAAUAUGACUCCUAAGUUCAUAUAAACUGAAGAAAUCAGAAUUUAACUUGCAUAUAUUCAAUGAUACAGCGUGAUUGUGUGGAUUGAGCACUUUUGAGCUUUCAUUUUGACCUGUGUGAUUAUGUAAAACCACAUGGUGCGUUGUGUUCGCUGCUGUUCGCUGACGCCAUUUUGGUUGCACGUGCCUGUGAAAGACAAAAAGAGAGAGAAACACGUGAAUGGACAGGUAUUUGUCUAAAUUGUCAUUUAUUAUGAUGAUGGCACUUAUGUAUGUAUUUUAUUUGUUUCCUGUAUUGUGUACAAUUGUUCAUCAUUAUUGAUACACAAUAUUGAAUGUUUUUUCCUUUCGUAUGAACAUUCCUUGAGCUGGAUUUUCCUAAUUGAUGGCGAGCCUCCCAUUUCGACCUGAUUGGAUCACGAAUCUAGAGGAAAGGACAAAUUUCUAUUUUAAAUAUUUUUCUUCAGACAAGUAAGAGGAUACAUUUCAGAAACUGUUUCCUUAUUUUGUUUGUUUGUUUACUUCAUUGAACUGAAACAUUUCAGAAGCACAAAUCUGAUAAUUUAAGACUGAUCAAUACUCCAAUUGAUAAGAACUUUGAACUUGAAUACGGAUUUCAGUGUGUUACAUAUAUAAUUUGUACCAUCUUUGUACAUUGAUUGUGACUGUGAUUUCUGUAAAUGAGAAGUAAUUUAGAGGGUGCACCCAUAGUAUAUAUCCCCCUUCUUCAAAUCUUACCCUGGAGGUCCGGAGCACUACAGAGUUUAGCUCCAACCCUGAUCAAACACACCUGAGCAAGCUAAUCAAGGUCUUCAUGAUCACUAGGAAAUCACAGGUGGGUAAGUUUGAUUAGGGUUGGAGCUAAACUCUGUAGUGCUCUGGACCUCCAGGGUAAGAUUUGAGGAACCCUGGUAUAUAUAGUUAAUUGUAUUUUCAUUGUUGUUUACUAUUUUUUUGUGAUUAAGGAAAGAAAAAGAAAGGUUUCUCAAUACUCAAAGUAAAAUAAUUUAUUAAUCAACUUA